This 253-nucleotide ribosomal RNA is filed under the name uncultured bacterium. Its description in RNAcentral is "partial 16S ribosomal RNA". It matches the Rfam family "Bacterial small subunit ribosomal RNA", at positions 524 to 776 of the family's 1533-position model. The record is from RNAcentral.
UACGAAGGGGGCUAGCGUUGCUCGGAAUCACUGGGCGUAAAGCGCACGUAGGCGGAUUGUUAAGUCAGGGGUGAAAUCCUGGAGCUCAACUCCAGAACUGCCUUUGAUACUGGCGAUCUUGAGUCCGGGAGAGGUGAGUGGAACUGCGAGUGUAGAGGUGAAAUUCGUAGAUAUUAGGAAGAACACCGGUGGCGAAGGCGGCCCACUGGUCCGGUACUGACGCUGAGGUGCGAAAGCGUGGGGAGCAAACAGG